Molecule: ribosomal RNA, 309 nt
Filed under: Triticum aestivum (bread wheat)
Lineage: Eukaryota; Viridiplantae; Streptophyta; Magnoliopsida; Poales; Poaceae
Description: partial small subunit ribosomal RNA
Source: RNAcentral
AUGGACAAGGUGGUGAACCCGUUGUUUGAGAAGAGGCCGAAGCAGUUCGGCAUCGGUGGCGCCCUGCCACCCAAGAAGGACCUCCACCGGUUUGUCAAGUGGCCCAAGGUCAUGCGCAUCCAGCGCCAGUGCCGCAUCCUCAAGCAGCGCUUCAAGGUGCCCCCGACGCUCCACCAGUUCACCCGCACCCUUGACAAGAACCUCGAUGCUGGCCUUCAUUCUUCAAAAGUUGGGUGCACAGGAGCUCUAGGAAGAAGAAUCCCGAAGAAAAACCAUACCCAGCAAUGCAUUUUAGCUCACUGGAGCUAG